GAUGAAGAACGCAGCGAAAUGCGAUAAGUAAUGUGAAUUGCAGAAUUCAGUGAAUCAUCGAAUCUUUGAACGCAUCUUGCGCUCCUUGGUAUUCUGAGGAGCAUGCCUGUUUGAGUGUCAUCAAAUUCUCAACCACUUCUUUUGAUGUGGCUUUGGAUAUGGGGGGAUUUCUUUUUUGCAGGCUUCUGAAAAACAAAGUCGGCUCCCCUGAAAUGUAUUAGUGGUGUCUGAGCAGGAGACUACUAUGGGUGUGAUAAAUCUAUCUAUGCCUUGGUACAACUGCUAUGCCGCUUCUAGCGAGUGCAUUUGACAAAUUUGACCUCAAAUCAGGUAGGACUACCCGCUGAACUUAAGCAUAUCAAUAAGCGGAGGA
RNAcentral lists this unclassified non-coding RNA (373 nucleotides) under soil metagenome. Its description in RNAcentral is "partial contains 5.8S ribosomal RNA, internal transcribed spacer 2, and large subunit ribosomal RNA". The stretch from base 1 to 120 matches the Rfam family "5.8S ribosomal RNA", at positions 35 to 154 of the family's 154-position model. The record is from RNAcentral.